This 1494-nucleotide long non-coding RNA is filed under the name Hordeum vulgare. RNAcentral's name for it is "long non-coding RNA (HVUL_LNC006384)". Lineage: Eukaryota; Viridiplantae; Streptophyta; Magnoliopsida; Poales; Poaceae. The record is from RNAcentral.
CUGCCUCUGGGGUACCUGUACCUCGUGGCAGUUUCGGAGGAAUCCGUGAGCCACGGGGACUCAGCAAUCUAAGACCUUGGUGCCAGAACUAGUCAUGUUAUUGGGUAAGGUAGGGAUAAAGUGUAUCAGGCUGCUGCAUCCUAUGAUUGAAUAAGUGGCUAACUUACGCAAAAGAGAAGUGAAGGUGGUCUACGAUAACGGUCAGGAUUACUUGAUCAGUAAGUGAUCCUGAACACCUACCUACGGCAUUCAUAACCCCACCGUGUUCCCGAUCGAAGAGAGAUCUUCGAAGGGACAGUCACGGUUACGCACACAGUUGGCAGUUUUAUUAGUUUAUGUUUAAGUUCUCUAAUACCGGAUGUUAACAAAAUAUUCCAAGUUGCCACAUAACCGCGGGCACGGCUUUCCGAAAGAUUAAAUCCUGCAGGGGUGCUCCAACUAGUCCAUCACAAACGAACACAGGCCGCAAAGGCAUCCUCUAUCACGAACCUCGUGAUCUCGUCAGAUUCCUUAGAGGAAAACCUCAACUCUGGGGGAAACCAAAGCUUCACUGGGAUUCCUAUACGCAAGAUAUACCUCUAAGGUAAGACAAGGCUAGCAGGACAUCCCGACGUGUCGACGACCCUGAUAAGAGCCGCGUAUCUUAGUCUCAGGACAUGACGGAUGAGCGACGCGUACAGUGGCCUGAUAGAAAUCUCUCAAGUUUCCCUGAGUUGGCCCCGCACAGUGCUCUAAUUUGGACCAACACUCAUGAGGAGCACUGGCCCGGGUUGUUGAUUAGAAUCCUCGGGGUAGCUAUUCCCUAUGCAGUUUAUUAUUAAGUGAUUAGCAAAUUAACACCAAAGUCGGGUCCUGCCGAACAAGCCUUAGCACUACGCGAUUUAUCAAGGGGGUCCCCAUAACAACCCCGAACGUGUUAGGAGCGAUCAUUAGGGAAUCAAACACCGGUAACCGGUAACUAUGGCGGCAAUAACGGAACAAAGCACCCGGCAAAAGGCUAGGCCUCCCGUCAUUUACCAAGUGUAUAGGUGCAUUAAAUAAAUAACAGAAUUUAAUAUAAUGAUAUCAAGCUCAUGUUAUCACAUGAGUCAAAACACCUGCAACUAGCAAUGCUAACAUUAGUAGCUGAGCAAGCCUACUUAGCCAUACAAGUUUGCUAGGAAUGAGUACGGUGUUUGUGCUCAUGGCAUAUGAAGAGGCAAUUUAAUUUUAGUGGUAGGCAGCGAGCAAUAUGACAUGGAAACGAAACUAACAUAACAAGUCUAGAGAUGGAAUCAAGGUCAUAUCAUCUUGCCUGUGAUAUCCUCAGCUUGGAAUGGUUCUGGAUCGUCCUGCACGUACUCUCCUGACUCCACGUAUUCGUUCUCCGCUCCCGGUGCUACCCAACAUAAGAAUGACAGCCAAUGAACAGCAUCACCACAAGAUGCAACAAUCACAUGAUGCAUGAGAUGAAAGUUGAGCAUGCACCACUAUUUCUAUCACUAGCACAAGCAA